RNAcentral lists this long non-coding RNA (301 nucleotides) under Elaeis guineensis (African oil palm). RNAcentral describes it as "long non-coding RNA (EGUI_LNC069581)". Lineage: Eukaryota; Viridiplantae; Streptophyta; Magnoliopsida; Arecales; Arecaceae. The record is from RNAcentral.
AACCCUAGUGAGCUCUUACAAUCCACCAGUGACACCUAGCAGUAUGUAGUGGCAACCCAGUAGAACCAAAAAUAAAUCUCAAGGUAUAGUUAGCAUGUGAUUCAAUCCUUCUAUCAUAAGUUCUGACUGGAUGGCAGGUCAUAGAUAAAUCAUCAAACCUCAUCAUCCGUCAUAUGAUAGAUUCGAUCAGCUCAAGUCUAAUUGUAAUUUCUAUGAAAAUUUUUUCUAUCAAUCACACUACUAUGGCUAUAGAUUUUUAGACUUAGCCUCUCAAAUUUUAUAAGACUACUCCUCUCUAUCA